This 460-nucleotide ribosomal RNA is filed under the name uncultured bacterium. RNAcentral's name for it is "partial 16S ribosomal RNA". It matches the Rfam family "Bacterial small subunit ribosomal RNA", at positions 338 to 795 of the family's 1533-position model. The record is from RNAcentral.
CCUACGGGUGGCUGCAGUGAGGAAUAUUGGUCAAUGGACGAAAGUCUGAACCAGCCAAGUCGCGUGAAGGAUGACUGCCCUAUGGGUUGUAAACUUCUUUUAUAAGGGAAUAAAACGAGGCACGUGUGCUUUUUUGCAUGUACUUUAUGAAUAAGAAUCGGCUAACUCCGUGCCAGCAGCCGCGGUAAUACGGAGGAUCCGAGCGUUAUCCGGAUUUAGUGGGUUUAAAGGGAGCGUAGAUGGGUUGUUAAGUCAGUUGUGAAAGUUUGCGGCUCAACCCUAAAAGUGCAAUUGAUACUGGGAGUCUUGAGUACAGUUGAGGUAGGAGGAAUGCGUGGUGUAGCGGUGAAAUGCGUAGAUAUUACGAAGAACCCCGAUGGCGAAGGCAGCUUACUAAACUGUGACUGACAUUGAUGCUCGAAAGUGUGGGUAUCAAACAGGAUUAGAUACCCCUGUAGUC